CGGAUAGCUCAGAUGGUAGAGCAGCGGACUGAAAAUCCGCGUGUCGAGGGUUCAAGUCCCCCUCCGA
Molecule: transfer RNA, 67 nt
Filed under: human gut metagenome
Rfam family: tRNA
About the family: Transfer RNA (tRNA) molecules are approximately 80 nucleotides in length. Their secondary structure includes four short double-helical elements and three loops (D, anti-codon, and T loops). Further hydrogen bonds mediate the characteristic L-shaped molecular structure. tRNAs have two regions of fundamental functional importance: the anti-codon, which is responsible for specific mRNA codon recognition, and the 3' end, to which the tRNAs corresponding amino acid is attached (by aminoacyl-tRNA synthetases). tRNAs cope with the degeneracy of the genetic code in two manners: having more than one tRNA (with a specific anti-codon) for a particular amino acid; and 'wobble' base-pairing, i.e. permitting non-standard base-pairing at the 3rd anti-codon position.
Source: RNAcentral